This 494-nucleotide ribosomal RNA is filed under the name uncultured bacterium. RNAcentral's name for it is "partial 16S ribosomal RNA". It matches the Rfam family "Bacterial small subunit ribosomal RNA", at positions 28 to 506 of the family's 1533-position model. The record is from RNAcentral.
GACGAACGCUGGCGGCGUGCCUAAUACAUGCAAGUAGAACGCUGAAGGAGGAGCUUGCUUCUCUGGAUGAGUUGCGAACGGGUGAGUAACGCGUAGGUAACCUGCCUGGUAGCGGGGGAUAACUAUUGGAAACGAUAGCUAAUACCGCAUAAGAGUAGAUGUUGCAUGACAUUUGCUUAAAAGGUGCAAUUGCAUCACUACCAGAUGGACCUGCGUUGUAUUAGCUAGUUGGUGGGGUAACGGCUCACCAAGGCGACGAUACAUAGCCGACCUGAGAGGGGGAUCGGCCACACUGGGACUGGGACACGGCCCAGACCCCUACGGGAGGCAGCAGUAGGGAAUCUUCGGCAAUGGACGGAAGUCUGACCGAGCAACCCCGGGUGAGUGAAGAAGGUUUUCGGAUCGUAAAGCUCUGUUGUAAGAGAAGAACGGGUGUGAGGGUGGAAAGUUCACACUGUGACGGUAUUUGACCAGAAAGGAACGGCUAACUACGU